AUUGAACGCUGGCGGCAGGCCUAACACAUGCAAGUCGAGCGGAUGAAGGGAGCUUGCUCCUGGAUCCAGCGGCGGACGGGUGAGUAAUGCCUAGGAAUCUGCCUGGUAGUGGGGGAUAACGUCCGGAAACGGGCGCUAAUACCGCAUACGUCCUGAGGGAGAAAGUGGGGGAUCUUCGGACCUCACGCUAUCAGAUGAGCCUAGGUCGGAUUAGCUAGUUGGUGGGGUAAGGGCCUACCAAGGCGACGAUCCGUAACUGGUCUGAGAGGAUGAUCAGUCACACUGGAACUGAGACACGGUCCAGACUCCUACGGGAGGCAGCAGUGGGGAAUAUUGGACAAUGGGCGAAAGCCUGAUCCAGCCAUGCCGCGUGUGUGAAGAAGGUCUUCGGAUUGUAAAGCACUUUAAGUUGGGAGGAAGGGCAGUAAGUUAAUACCUUGCUGUUUUGACGUUACCAACAGAAUAAGCACCGGCUAACUUCGUG
Molecule: ribosomal RNA, 484 nt
Filed under: uncultured bacterium
Lineage: Bacteria
Description: partial 16S ribosomal RNA
Rfam family: Bacterial small subunit ribosomal RNA
Source: RNAcentral